This 399-nucleotide ribosomal RNA is filed under the name Triticum aestivum (bread wheat). RNAcentral's name for it is "partial small subunit ribosomal RNA". Lineage: Eukaryota; Viridiplantae; Streptophyta; Magnoliopsida; Poales; Poaceae. The record is from RNAcentral.
AUGACCGUCACGUUGGAUGCCUCCCGUGACGAUGACCAUCGAACUGCCACAACCUUGGAGGACCGAAGCGCCCUACUGGACGCACCCAGACCACCGAUUCAGUGUCCAACUCUGCGGCUACCUCAGCUGAGAGUGGCCAGGGCCGAGAGGCUGGGGUGCAGGUGCAGCAAGAAGGCGUCUUCGGCGCAGGCUCCGGUGGUGGCCAAGGGCAUGCCGCUGCUGGCCUCGGCGCUGGCGCUGGUGGACGAGCCGAUGUCAAGUGAGGCCACCGGGCUGCGCAACGACCUGCUGGGGUGGGUCCUGCUGGUUGCCAUCGGCCUCCUCUUGUGCUUCUACACCGUCUACUCCUCCACCUUUGACGACGACGACCUGUCCGGCGGCGGCGGCAUCAUGCUCUGA